Molecule: regulatory RNA element, 132 nt
Organism: Brachybacterium muris
Lineage: Bacteria; Bacillati; Actinomycetota; Actinomycetes; Micrococcales; Dermabacteraceae
Rfam family: ALIL pseudoknot
Source: Rfam
GGCUUUUUUCGCGGCGGAGUUCGACCGCCCACAGAAGUGAUCGUCGCCUACAUCGACGAACAAAAAGACACGUGGGGGAUCGAACCGAUCUGCCGAGUUCUCACCAAAGAGCUCGAUGUGAAGAUCGCCCCG